RNAcentral lists this non-coding RNA (30 nucleotides) under Mus musculus (house mouse). The record is from RNAcentral. Lineage: Eukaryota; Metazoa; Chordata; Mammalia; Rodentia; Muridae.
UGAAAAUCCAUGUUGCCUUUCUCUUUGGGU